UACGAAGGGUGCAAGCGUUGUUCGGAUUUAUUGGGCGUAAAGCGCGCGCAGGCGGAUGAAUGUGUCAGAUGUUAAAUCAUGGGGCCCAACCCCAUAGGUGCGUCUGAAACUGUUCGUCUAGAAUAUCGGAGGGGGUAGGGGAAUUUCUUGUGUAGGGGUAAAAUCCGUAGAGAUAAGAAGGAACACCUGAGGCGAAGGCGCCUACCUGGACGAUUAUUGACGCUGAGGCGCGAAAGCGUGGGGAGCAAACAGG
RNAcentral lists this ribosomal RNA (253 nucleotides) under uncultured bacterium. Its description in RNAcentral is "partial 16S ribosomal RNA". It matches the Rfam family "Bacterial small subunit ribosomal RNA", at positions 524 to 776 of the family's 1533-position model. The record is from RNAcentral.